GGUGCUGAUUUGAAUUUUCUGUUGAACUCUUUGCAGGCAGCUGAAGAUCAUGAACCACCGUCAAAGUUGAGCAGGAAUCCGUAUGAUGACCUACAGGCUGUCCAGUGGUUAGUGAAACACUGCCUUUACUCAUAAUGGAAGUUUUUGUUGAGGUGGAGUGUGAAACUGGUCCAUUAACAGCAGUUCCUCUAGACAAGAUAAAGUUUUCACUAGAAACAGUAGGAGCACCAGUGUGUAUAAAUAGAGAAGUCUGGCCUCCACUUAAGGCGUUUUCAGAUCUGUCCCUGGAUAGCUCCUCAGGCAGAGUCAAUGUAUUGUUUUUCUGAAACAAUGUGUCACUCUCUUGUGAUUCAGGAAUGCCACCUUCCUCCUCAGAUACAAAAUCACAUAGGAUUUCCUCCUCUUCUUCUUUAGCACCAGUAACUUCAGUAUUUAUCUCUAAAUCAUCCAUGUUGCUGGUCUGUCCAUUAAGUACAUUUAUACUAGACUCUUUGAAUUACGGUGUUAUAACUCACAACAAAUGUCCAUGGCUCCUUGCAGUGGUCCUUCAUCAAAGUCAAGGAAGAUCAUGCUUGACAUCCUUUCUUCCUUUGUUUGUUUUUUUUUGCAUUAAGCUCUGAGAUCCACUUCCACAUUAAAACAAACCUGCGUGGUAUUUUUGGAAAUAGUAGGGCACUUCUGUUAUACAGUAACUCAAAUGGUUUCUCCCAAGCAGCUCUUCUAUUUUUG
This 729-nucleotide long non-coding RNA is filed under the name Gallus gallus (chicken). The record is from RNAcentral. Lineage: Eukaryota; Metazoa; Chordata; Aves; Galliformes; Phasianidae.